This 402-nucleotide long non-coding RNA is filed under the name Podarcis lilfordi (Lilford's wall lizard). The record is from RNAcentral. Lineage: Eukaryota; Metazoa; Chordata; Lepidosauria; Squamata; Lacertidae.
GUUGACAAAAAGCAUACUACCAACGUCGCCAGUCGGCUUGCGUUGGGUUUUUUUCCCUUCCUGUCAGAAAGCGCAAGGCGACGCGCCUGCGCACAAGGAGCGAAAGGCUGGGUAGCCUAGCAACCGGAGCGGGCCUACCAAACCACCCGCCUCUGCUGGAGUUGGUUAAGCCCCCGACUGACCCCGAAGAAAAGCGGGGCUGCUGCAGGAAUCUCAACCCCAUCGCUAGAUGCAGUAGCUUCAGCUGCAUCCGUACGAGUCUCGCUGACUCUGUUUCGGAAGCUCUGUGUGUGGAUCAUUCUGUUUCAUUUCUACCCCGCUUUCCCCCCUGAUAGGACGGGACUUCCAGAUUUUUUUAAAAAAGAGCGAGAAAAAAAAUAAUUGCUUAAAACAUAAGGGGGA